Molecule: long non-coding RNA, 1095 nt
Organism: Molossus molossus (Pallas's mastiff bat)
Lineage: Eukaryota; Metazoa; Chordata; Mammalia; Chiroptera; Molossidae
Exons: 3
Source: RefSeq, a predicted model, not a curated record
ACUAGGGUACAGAUAGCAGAAUUAGUUUUAGACAGUCCCCAAAAAGUGUUCACUAGUUUGGAAAGCUCUCAUUAAGCAAAUGUAACCAGUUUUACCUACCGGGAUUUCUUAGGGCCUAUAAUAUACAUAAUGAAUAUCCAAGAAGGAGAGUAUACUGUUAAUGUUUUCCAAAUGUAUUACUUUUGUGUUGUUGCUGUUAAAAAUCACUACAUAUUUAGUGGCUUAAAUAAUACAAAUUUAUUAUUUUAUAGCUCUGGAGGUCAGAGGUCCAAAAUGGGUUGGCAUGGCUGUAAUCCUUCUGGAGGAAGUUUUGCUCACCUUGAUGAGAACAAUCCAGAGGAUUUGUGGCCACAAAAGCCAGAUGGGGAUAGUUUCUGUCAGCAGCACAAGGUGAGAGCAGAAGCCACGAGCUCCAUGGACCACUCGGGAAAACGACGCACAGAGAAGACUAUUUAUAAGCCCCGUGAAGGCCACGAAUUUUGUUCACUGCUGCAUCUCGUGCCUAGAACAGGAAUGAGGAGAGCACUCUAGGUACUCAGAGUUAUUGGGAAAGCAGAAAUAAACAAGGUACAAUGUCCGCCUUCAAAGAGCCCACCACCUCGAGAAGUCCUGUGGCUAAGCCACUAAAGACUCGAAGUAAAGUGAGUAUGACAGAUCAAAUGACAGAAGCCUGGCUAUUGUUGUAUUUAAGUAGCCUCAAGCAGUAUAUAAGUAUUCUACUCAGUGAAAUGAGAUACAGAAAAAAAGUGGGGUAAAAAAGUACAAAAACCAAUCCAGCAAUAUAUAAAUCAAAGGAACACUAGACCCAGAACUUCUUACGUAACAGAAACUUUUGCCUUCUAAAGUAGGCUCAGUGUCAGCUGGCAGGAAUGACAGGAACUGGCCCAUCUCACUUCAUGAAGUUUGUUUUGUUUUGCUUUUUAGAAUAAUCUAAAGAGAGAAAACAUAUGGCUUUGUUAAAAAGCCACAUCUUCAAAGUUGUAUGUCUCUGUGGUUUAAUGUUUUUCCAGAGAAAAAUUACCUAUUUAUAUUUGUAAUCCAAUAUUUCCCCAAGUAUAUUUUUUUAAGGUUUCUUCCUUCAAAUUUUCUCCUAGU